This 223-nucleotide ribosomal RNA is filed under the name uncultured Burkholderiales bacterium. RNAcentral describes it as "partial 16S ribosomal RNA". It matches the Rfam family "Bacterial small subunit ribosomal RNA", at positions 1 to 240 of the family's 1533-position model. Lineage: Bacteria; Pseudomonadati; Pseudomonadota; Betaproteobacteria; Burkholderiales. The record is from RNAcentral.
UGACGAGUUUUGAUCCUGGCUCGGAUUGAACGCUGGCGGAAUGCUUUACACAUGCAAGUCGAACGCUCUAGCAAUAGAGAGUGGCGCACGGGUGAGUAAUAUAUCGGAACGUGCCCAGUCGUGGGGGUAUAACGUAGCGAAAGUUACGCUAAUACCGCAUACGAUCUAAGGAUGAAAGCGGGGUAUCGCAAGACCUCGCGCGAUUGGAGCGGCCGAUAUCAGA